Erpetoichthys calabaricus (reedfish) is the source of this 2977-nucleotide long non-coding RNA. RefSeq lists it as uncharacterized. The record is from RefSeq and is a predicted model, not a curated record. Lineage: Eukaryota; Metazoa; Chordata; Cladistia; Polypteriformes; Polypteridae. The transcript is spliced from 4 exons.
GAUGAGGUUCCUAUACUCCUCUUCCUGCCCACUCCUGAUGCAGCCCACAAUAGCAGUGUCAUCAGCGAACUUUUGCACGUGGCAGGACUCCGAGUUGUUUUGGAAGUCCGAUGUAUAUAGGCUGAACAGGACCGGAGAAAGUACAGUCCCCUGCGGCGCUCCUGUGUUGCUGACCACAAUGUCAGACCUGCAGUUCUCAAGACGCACAUACUGAGGUCUGUCUUUAAGAUAGUCCACCAUCCAUGCCACUAGGUAUGAAUCUACUCCCAUCUCUGUCAGCUUGUCCCUAAGGAGCAGAGGUUGGACUGAGACCCUUUGUAAACGGUGGUCUCCGUGCAGUACCAAGCAAAAUCCUGGAGGGGUUCACGUGAGGUAUGAAUGUGAUCCGACAGAACUGAUCUAACUUCUGGAAAUACUGUGCAUUGUGGGAUACAUUUUGGCUGCUGAUUAGGCAAUCUCAGUGUAAUAAUAAAUGCACACAUGCAUACAAGUUCACAUAGGGCACCUAGCACAAGUAACAGCCAAUCAGAUUAAUCCUAGCACCUGAUUCCACCUCAGAGCCUCUUUUCACUCUCACGAUUGGAUAGCAGUUGAUCACGUUAAAAAAAAAAGAAAAAGGUUUAAAUUCACUUGUGAUCAGGUGGAUCAAACUGACCACAUACAGAGUUGGUGAGAAACUAAUGCCCUCUGCAACUCCCAAUUAAUCCCUCCAAUCUGCACCACUAGAGUGAUGCAUGCAAAUGGACGUCUGUAGUGGCAAUGCUCCUCAGAGAAGGUGGGGGUGACACAGAGAAAAGAGAGCCCCCCACUCACAGUGGUCAGGGACGGACUCUGAAUGGCUGAUGGAUGGAGCUCUCCAUUUAGCUCAUGCCACAAAGCGAUUGCCUCCCAACCAGAGAUUGUGCGUUUGCGACUCACUGCCGACAGUUCACCAAAGAGCAAAUCUUUGAACUGAGACAAUUGGCGACAAGGGUGGGAUUUGCACUGUGGCAGGAUGAAGUGUAAAGGUGAUGUGGCGCAGAAAAGGUGGUGGCUGACACUAGAGAAAGAGAUCAGCUAAUGUCACCAAGAAGCACACAACGUGCAGUGGUAGGAGAUGGGGUCUGCACGGCUGACAGAUGGAGCUUUCCAUUUAGACCACGCUACAAAGUGCUCGCCUCUGAGCCGGAGAUCGUGCGAUUGUGACUAGUUGCCGACAGUUCACCAAAGAGCAAAUCUUUGAACUGAGACAAUUGGUGACAAGGGUGGGAUUUCCACUGUGGUCAGGUGGAGUGUAGUGGCGACAGUGCAGAGAAGGUGGAGGCUGACGCAGAGAGACAUCAGCUGAUAUCACCAGGAAACGCACCGCUCAUAGUGGUCAGAGAUAUGGGGUCUGCGUGGCUGACGGAUGGAGCUCUCCAUUUAGCUCACCGCACAAAGCACUCGCCUCUGAGCCGGAGAUUGUGCGUUUGCGACUCACUGCCAACAGUUCACCACAGAGCAACAAGGGUGGGAUUUCCACUGUGGUCGGGUGGAGUGUAGUGGCGACACAGUGCAGAGAAGGUAGGGGCUGACGCAGAGAGACAUCAGCUGAUAUCACCAGGAAGCACACCGCUCAUAAUGGUCAGAGAUAUGGGGUCUGCGUGGCUGACGGAUGGAGCUCUCCAUUUAGCUCACCCCACAAAGCACUCACCUCUGAGCCGGAGAUCGUGCGUUUGUGACUUGCUGCCAACAGUUCACCACAGAGCAAAUCUUUGAACUGAGACAAUUGGCAACAAGGGUGGGAUUUGCACAGUGGUCGGGUGGAGUGUAGUAGUGACACAGCGUAGAGAAGGUGGGGGCUGAUGCAGAGAUGGACUCUGUGCAACCAACAGAUGGAGCUUUUGCCACAAAGUGCUCACCUCUGAGCCGGAGUUUGCAAAUUUGUGACUCGCAGCUGACAGUUCACCACAGAGUCCAUUUUCAAACUGACACAAUGUCCUGUCAGUGUGCUCACACCUUGGGCACAAUUUAGACACACAUUAACUUUGAUACUUGUAGUAAAUGUUAACCCGACAUUCCAAAAUAAACAUUAAUAACAGAUAUUUACAGGCUUAAUGACUGCAGACAUGUGAUUUAAGAGGUGACAUUCAUAUACAGUAGGAACAUCAUACAGUGAAAUUACAUGCGCCUGAUACACUGACUGUCGGAAUGAAAUUGAAGCACAUCUCCACAUUCCCACUCUUGUACAGUUGCCUACAUGAAACGCGUCCCUUUCCGUGCCAUGUGAAGUAACACGUCGUGUUCAUGUGCUCUUCUAGUUGUCCGAUAACAUGCAUUCCUCUCACAGAGAUGUGAACAAACCACAUAGUUAUUUCAAUUGUGCUGGUGCAACAUUCCUGAUAAUUGCAUUCCUGCCCAAUGAAAGAAGUCCACAUUGUGCCCCUGGGUUAUUGAUUGUUACUUCUGGUUUGCUUGAAAGUUUGCUGUGUAAAAUACAACCAGACUACCUGGAAAUCGGAUCAAAGGAACUAGUCAUCUGAAUCGGAGCAAAGCAAAUGGGAAUUUGGGUGUGAAAACACUUAAAGACUGGGCCCCUGUGUAUCCGAUUCUAUGCAUUUUAGCACCGUUGGUCCCCCAGUGCUGCGUUCUUCCACCCCUAUUGUUCUAUCAUUUCACUAAUGACUGUACCUCCUUUGAUAAUUCGACAAAAAUUGUGAAAUCUGCUACUGAUAUAAUAGUUGUGGGUCUCAUCACUAAUAAUGGUGAGACCUGCUACUGGAGGUGAACCACAUGUGCUUUUAAUAAUGGAGAACUCAGCACCAUCAAAACAGUGGAAAUGGUGAUUGGCUUCUGCAGAUGCCCCUCUUGUCUGUCUGCACCAUGGGUAUCUUCGGCCUGACUGUUUCCAUGGUGGAGUCAUUUGAGUUUCUGGGGGCAACCAUUACUAAAAAUCUGAAGUGGGAUAAAGACCUCACUUUGAUUAUUGGGAAAUCACAGCAGGGGAAACACUCAACAU